RNAcentral lists this ribosomal RNA (253 nucleotides) under uncultured bacterium. Its description in RNAcentral is "partial 16S ribosomal RNA". It matches the Rfam family "Bacterial small subunit ribosomal RNA", at positions 524 to 776 of the family's 1533-position model. The record is from RNAcentral.
UACGUAGGGUGCAAGCGUUGUCCGGAAUUAUUGGGCGUAAAGAGCUCGUAGGUGGUUCGUUACGUCGGAUGUGAAAAUCUGGGGCUCAACCCCAGACCUGCAUUCGAUACGGGCGAACUAGAGUGUGGUAGGGGAGACUGGAAUUCCUGGUGUAGCGGUGUAAUGCGCAGAUAUCAGGAGGAACACCAAUGGCGAAGGCAGGUCUCUGGGCCAUUACUGACACUGAGGAGCGAAAGCGUGGGUAGCAAACACG